RNAcentral lists this unclassified non-coding RNA (358 nucleotides) under soil metagenome. RNAcentral's name for it is "partial contains 5.8S ribosomal RNA, internal transcribed spacer 2, and large subunit ribosomal RNA". The stretch from base 1 to 120 matches the Rfam family "5.8S ribosomal RNA", at positions 35 to 154 of the family's 154-position model. The record is from RNAcentral.
GAUGAAGAACGUAGCGAAAUGCGAUAAGUAAUGUGAAUUGCAGAAUUCAGUGAAUCAUCGAAUCUUUGAACGCACAUUGCGCCCGUCAGUAUUCUGGCGGGCAUGCCUGUUCGAGCGUCAUUACGCCCCUCAAGUCCCCUGUGGACUUGGUGUUGGGGAUCGGCGAGGCUGGUUUUCCAGCACAGCCGUCCCUUAAAUUAAUUGGCGGUCUCGCCGUGGCCCUCCUCUGCGCAGUAGUAAAACACUCGCAACAGGAGCCCGGCGCGGUCCACUGCCGUAAAACCCCCCAACUUUUUAUAGUUGACCUCGAAUCAGGUAUGACUACCCGCUGAACUUAAGCAUAUCAAUAAGCGGAGGA